Long non-coding RNA from Acomys russatus (golden spiny mouse), 172 nucleotides. RefSeq lists it as uncharacterized. NCBI's taxonomy places the organism in Eukaryota, Metazoa, Chordata, Mammalia, Rodentia, Muridae. The record is from RefSeq and is a predicted model, not a curated record. The transcript has 4 exons.
AUCACCAGGUGCUAUACACACCAUCACCAGGUGCUCUGCACGCCAUCACCAGGUGCUCUGCACGCCAUCACCAGGUGCUCUGCACGCCAUCACCAGGUGCUCUGCACACCAUCACCAGGUGCUCUGCACGCCAUCACCAGGUGCUAUACACACCAUCACCAGGUGCUCUGCA